GAAGGUGCCUUUCUCUGCAGCGGGUGGGGCCGGGGACACUGUGUCCUGCUGGCUGGGCUUUAUCUCUGCCAGCACCGGCCAGGGAGCUGAUUCCUGAGCUCCGCAUGCUCCACACAGCAGGGUUCUUGUUAAAUUAUCCAGGCUGGUCUCAAAAUUGUGAUCCUCCUGCCUCAGCCUCCCCAGUACCUGGGAUUAUAGGUGUGGGCCACCAUAUCCAACUGUACGGAUUCCUUUCAGACCAAGAAGAGGCCAAACCAACCUGUGAACACAGUGCUCACCUCCCGGGGAAGAUGGGGACAGGAGUCAUAGCAGUGGAGGGGACGAGAGAACUUUCUGGGGUGAUCGAAAUGUCUUCUUUCGAUGGUGACCCAUCAAGCAAGAACUCCUCUAAUGCUCAGGCUACUUGCCUCCCAUUGUAUGUUAAUUCUAUUUCAAUUAA
Molecule: non-coding RNA, 439 nt
Organism: Heterocephalus glaber (naked mole-rat)
Lineage: Eukaryota; Metazoa; Chordata; Mammalia; Rodentia; Bathyergidae
Source: RefSeq, a predicted model, not a curated record